This is a non-coding RNA of Elaeis guineensis (African oil palm), 3667 nucleotides long. The record is from RefSeq and is a predicted model, not a curated record. Lineage: Eukaryota; Viridiplantae; Streptophyta; Magnoliopsida; Arecales; Arecaceae.
GCCUUGGCUUUCAUUCUUCUCACAACAAUGAGGAGCGCAUUCUAGGCUCUCUUUAUAAGCUCAAAAGUAUUUGGAAUCUUUGGAACAAACACUCAACCUUAUCCAAUCUUCAAGGCAAUUGAUAUGAUAUUUUGGCUUUGCUUUAGUUUUUUGCGGACCCCGUCAACUUUUGUUGUCAAUUCUCUGGCCACUGACAACUUUUCAUGCCACAGAUUUCACUUGUGAUACAUGUAAGGGAAUAUAUCCAUAACAAUCUAUUUCUAGAUCGAUCUCUAUAGAAAAACCAAAACCUUUUCCCCUCCAAGGAGAAUUUCUGACAUAACAGUUUGCCACUUGAUAUUUCUUGAAAUCUUUUGAGUUCCUGAUUCCUUGAACUAUUUGAAACAACUCAUUUCUUGGAUGCACUGCAUGUGGAAUGCUUGCUUCUUUGGGGCUUCAAAGGGUCACGCUUGGUGAUUGUUCCAUGAUGCUUUGGCAUUCCAUGAGUCGUCAUGUGCAAUUUAAAAAUAUUGCAAUGGUAUAAAUUCUGGGUUGGGACCAUAAGUGGUAGAAUUUUAGGAAUUUUGUAUUCAUUGAUGAUAGAAGUUCUUAAGGUUCUUUUGACUGGUGCAUUGAGAAGCAGAACAUCAUAUUUGGAAAACUAAUACAUACUGAUAAUUGAUGCUUUCUUUGUACUGUUUGAAAGCAAGGUACCCUAUUCGGAAUAAGCAUGUAAUUCUCUUUUGUCUCCUCUGUUAAGAUAGGUACUUAUUCACCAACAUAGCAGAAGAAGAAGCAGACACCAUUCAAUCACUGUUCAUGUGAAGCCAUCGUUCAAUCAUCAACUUAUUGCACUUGAAUUUGGUGAAAAUUUUUAUACCAUAUUAAGAUCGGAAAGGAUAAUCUCUUUCAUACUUCAUAGUUUCUCAUGUUGGACAACUUUUCUGUUAUCUUUCAAUCUGCUCAUUACUAUAAUAUUAUACAUGUAUGCAUGCGCAUGAUUGUGUAUGCCAGUGUGUUCAUUUAUUUACAUAAGUAAUUUGCAUCUAUAAAUUUAUUUAUCUGGCUUAUGUAGGAAUCUGAUGUCAAUUGCAAGGUCAAGACCUUUGAUUACAGUUUCCCUCAGAGUGACAGUAACCCUCAUCCAGUUUAGCACUUCAUCCAAGCAUCAACGUCAAUAGUGAAAGACUUUUCUUUAAAGGCAAGUGACCAAAGAGCAAAUGCAUCUGAAACUCUUUUCCCCUUUAGUGUUGAUGUCCUCUAUUUGUCGAUACAAAUUGUUUGCAUUUCCUUUUACACUCCACCAUGUCACUUUUAUUCUUCGGUUAGUAAUUUAUAGGACUAGCUUGGGAAGUAAAGGUAACACAGUUCAUGAUUCUGGUGGUGUCUUUGGAUUCAGUAGAAACUUUUACAUUGAAAAUCAAUUAGUAGGUUUCUGGCCAUGCAGUGCGGGGCUCCCGAUGGGUCCCAGAAUUUUAACCUGUACUGUGCUGUAUAUCCUAAGGAAAGCUUGAUGAGGCUGUGCUUUUUGGACGGUGAAAAAGGGUUUGAGGUCUGGUUCCACAACUUCACACUCAAUUUUUGGAAUUUGAAAUUUUGGACCUUGAGGUCGACCACCUGGCUUAUCAAAAGAAGCAUCUUUGGCUGAAGAGCCUGCAGCUAGAAGUGUCCUCAUCAAAGUAUCUUGGUUUACAACUUUCAGCAGCUUAGCUUAUGCUUCUCUACAUUGAUUGCUGUAUUACACAAUUCUACAAAUUACAAGUGGGGCCUCUUCUGGUGCCCAAGUUAUGGAUCUCUGCUAUCUCCCAGACAAUUUACAGAUGUCUGAAAAUAGUAAGAGGUGGGAGAGAAUCCUAUUGGAUUGGGUAUAGGCCAUGCAUUCCAAAUCCCCAAUUUUUUGUUCAAUGGAGUUCAAUUAAGAGGUGAAUUCUAGUUUCAAAUAGUUUUGGAAUGUGGGAUCUGCCCUGUUUACUUCCAACUUUCUCCUCUCUUAGCUUCUGUAUGCUCCUAGCUCUUUCUACCAUUCCAAGUGUUAUCACAUGAAUAGGAAACUCGGGCAACGAGACAUGCCUUUAUCGAAUUUCUAAUAUAAUUGUUGUAUUCGUUUCCAGCUGCUUGAUAUACUCACAGUUUCAGAUUCUACCAAAUGAUUUCUUAGUUACACUUUUGUUGUUCUGGUAAUUAUGCUGUGCUCUAUCUAGAGCACAAUAUUAGACAGUCAUCAGGAUGCAGGGACACAUCUAUAGCUAGUCUGUUGAACAAAUCAUGCGCAAGUAUCUUUGUUUUCCUUUCGUACUGCAGAAAGAUUGAAAGAUAAACAAGAACAUCACGUACGAGACUAUCUUAGAGCGGCUAAAUCAUAAUCUUUGGUCAAAACAGGGAUCUCAGCAUAAAAAUAACCAUGAUCAGAAUUAAGGAUGGUAACUUUAGUCGAUCCAUCUGGUAUCCAAUCUGAUCCAAUCUGAAUAAGGUAGGUUUUAUCCAAUCUGAUUAGAAUUCGUGAUCUAAAAAAAAUAUUCAAAGUCGAUUUGGAUCAGAUAUAGAUAAUGGUAUGUUUCGUUUCGAACUUAAAUCAAUAUAAUUAUCUAUAUAUUUUUUUAAAAUUAUAAUUAUUUUAUAAUGCUUAUAUGUAUCGGAUUCAAUCUAAUCUCUUUUAUCUAUCCGAUCUGACUUGAUUGUGGCAAAUAUGGGACGGGUGUAGAUAUAGAGUUUUUAAUUACGAAACGGAUAUGGAUAUUGGUUGACCUAAUUCAUAUCUAAUCCGCUGUCGUCCUUAAUCAGGACAACCAUACAAUCAAUAGAGUAAGGUUUUCUUCUUUUUGCUUUUGAUGUGACACUAACAUGAAAUUUGCCCUUGCAAAUGAAAUGGGAUAUAUUGCUUUUUUGGCAGCUCAGCAUUCUUCAACUUUGGCCUAGAGUUGGCGUGAAGAUUAAGUGGCUUGAGGUUGAAGGGUCAAAGAAGAUGGCCAUAGUCAAUUGUAACAAGUCUUUAGGUAUCUUUUCAACAUGGCAGGAAAGUAAACAACGCUCAUCGGGCCCAAUUAGCCCGGUGAAUAAUGUUUGCUGAUGACAACUAGGGGUAUGACUAAUUCAGCCUCCAAGUAAUAUUUUUUUCCUCUGUCAAAUGACUGAACUAAAGGAUUAGUUCCCUGUAUUGGCUCUGUCCAUAGGUUACAGAUGUCCACCAGCAACAGGCUUUCAUUUCAUGGUGCUGUUGCAGUAUUCCCAUGACUACUUGGAUGACAAUUUGGAUACGUUAAUUUCAUACAAAAAGAAAAAAAAGAGAAAAAUCAAGAAUAGACUUAUGAUUUUUUUUUUUUUAACUUUUUUUAGAGAAAUCAAGCGUUGGCCUAUGAAUUUUUUUCUCAUUUUUUUCACUUAAUUUUUUUUAAAAAAAAGCUUAUGAUCUAUAUCACAUGACUUGGGCGUGAGCUGAGCACAACAUGGCCUUAUUAUAUUAGCAGAGUUUUAUUGCCAAUGUCUUUUAUCUUCUUUGAGAUUGUGCAAGUUUGUAAUUUUGUAUGAAACAAUCAUCUGAUCAAGGUUUUAAGCUCGGGUGGAAUUGAGGAGGGGGUGCCAGCUGUCCUGUCUUGUUCAUAUAAGAAAAUGAAAUUUAGAUGGGUCUAAUCUCCGGAACCCAUCUAUAUGGAGGGAGGAAAAAAAAAAAAAGGAAGGAAAGAAAAGAAAA